UAGUUUUUUGAGUGGUAUAUAAUUGUCUAGGUACUUUCCGUGGAUGGUUUUGCGAGCUGGGGACCAGCUCAAAAUUUUGCCGUAGUCAAAAUUUUCUUAGGGAAGGGGAGCACUGUAACAACAAAAUUUUAAUUCUUCAUUUUUUCAUUACUGUUUAGUAUGGGACCCAUCUUCGUUUGAUACCCUUAUCGCCAUCUAGCGAGCGCAGGCGUAUUCACGCAGCGCCCUAUCGAACUAAGCUUGGUCCGUGUUGCUAUAUUAAAAAUAAUUUCGGUUUCUUCCUACAUUUUUGGUUUUUUUUUAAUCGAAAGGGGUUUGUAAAUUAAAAUUGUCUUCAAAUAUGGUUUUCCGUUCUAUCUAAUAUUAGUCCAAGUAAAUUAAAAAAGAAAGGUAAUGUUUCCUUUUCAAAAUCACCUAGGAUCGCACGAAUCCAGUUCGGGCUUUGGUAACCCCGUCGUUUCAUCUGUCACCGAUGGCUCGCCACGUCGAGGGCCGUUCUUUUUGGAUUCGGAAGAGAUCGUAGCAAGGCGUGGUUGUUUCCUUUUCCCAACGGCCUGGUGCCGUCUGAGUCUACCUAUAUCGCGGUUUAAGCCGCCUAAUCCUCGUUGGAUGUGAAUCGUCCUGUGCAGUUGAAGCCCCGGGUGCAUUGAAAUUAUGCAAGUCCUUUCCUACGCCCGCUUAUUGUCUGCCCCGGGGUUUCAAGAUUUACCGUCUUUAUUACAAGUGUACGGUGUGGCCUCAAGAUGCCAGCUUCUGCAAACCGAGCUACCAGUGGCAGGGAGCUGUGUUUGGCGUUUCCCUACUUCCACGUCGAGGUUCCUGGUCAACGUGGCGGUUGUAUUGUUUACGGUCUCUCGAAGUUUUGGAGGUUAGAUCGACCCUUUAUUUAAUAUUAAUUACUGAACCAGAGAUGCUGGUUCUGGCGCCCUCGUACCCCUCACUACCGUUUAAAUUUGUCUGUCAGUAGGCCGCUUCUACCAAAACAUUUUUAAAUAAGAGUUCGCUAUACCCAUAACUGUUCCCUCAACACUUAAAUAAGAGUCUGGUGCUCGUGUUAUUUAGAUAAGAGCUAGUUUACCUUAAGUUCCUGUUGUUAAGGCCCUUAAGGCUC
Long non-coding RNA from Cydia splendana, 1111 nucleotides. RefSeq lists it as uncharacterized. The record is from RefSeq and is a predicted model, not a curated record. The transcript is spliced from 3 exons. Lineage: Eukaryota; Metazoa; Arthropoda; Insecta; Lepidoptera; Tortricidae.